This 87-nucleotide transfer RNA is filed under the name Clostridiales bacterium. RNAcentral's name for it is "tRNA-Ser". It matches the Rfam family "tRNA". Rfam says of the family: Transfer RNA (tRNA) molecules are approximately 80 nucleotides in length. Their secondary structure includes four short double-helical elements and three loops (D, anti-codon, and T loops). The record is from RNAcentral. RNAcentral also lists the same sequence under 1 other name. Lineage: Bacteria; Bacillati; Bacillota; Clostridia; Eubacteriales.
GGAGAGGUGUCAGAGUGGUCGAAUGAGACGGUCUUGAAAACCGUUAUAUGGGUAACCAUAUCGGGGGUUCGAAUCCCUUCCUCUCCG